AUGGUGGCUGGUGAUCUUAAUGAUAUAAUGUUCUCCUUUGAAAAAGAAGGGGGUAAUCCCCGACCAGCUCAGUACAUGGCGGCAUUCAGGGACACCCUGGAUGAGUGCAAUCUAUCGGACCUUGGCUACUUUGGUCACAAGUUUAUCUGGCAUAGAGGAAUGAUAAGAGAGAGGCUCGAAUGAGCAGUUUCAAAUGAUGCAUGGAAUUCCACGUUUCCUACAGUGAGGCUUGAGCAUCUGGACUACCACAAGACUGAUCAUCGACCACACCUGUUCAAUUUGGUAGAGGAAGUGGCUCAUGAACAUACUAGGCCGGCAGUGCUUCGGUUUGAGGCCCGAUGGCUCAAGGUGGAAAAUUUUAGGAAUGUUGUGGAAGAGGCUUGGCAUGGCCUUGGGCCGGAAAUUCAAAAUGAUGGUCUGGCGGGGAAGCUAGCACAUGUGCAUAAAGCUCUUCACCUAUGGGAUAAAAUAAUGCUCCAUAACUCCUCAAAAAAGUUGAAACGAGUACAGAGAGAGCUGGAGUGA
Molecule: ribosomal RNA, 525 nt
Filed under: Triticum aestivum (bread wheat)
Lineage: Eukaryota; Viridiplantae; Streptophyta; Magnoliopsida; Poales; Poaceae
Description: partial small subunit ribosomal RNA
Source: RNAcentral